Molecule: transfer RNA, 74 nt
Filed under: Steroidobacter denitrificans
Lineage: Bacteria; Pseudomonadati; Pseudomonadota; Gammaproteobacteria; Steroidobacterales; Steroidobacteraceae
Rfam family: tRNA
About the family: Transfer RNA (tRNA) molecules are approximately 80 nucleotides in length. Their secondary structure includes four short double-helical elements and three loops (D, anti-codon, and T loops).
Source: Rfam by way of RNAcentral
CGGGAUGUAGCUCAGCCUGGUAGAGCGCUUCGUUCGGGACGAAGAGGUCGCAGGUUCGAAUCCUGUCAUCCCGA